AUUGAACGCUGGCGGCAUGCCUUACACAUGCAAGUCGAACGGCAGCACGGGUGCUUGCACCUGGUGGCGAGUGGCGAACGGGUGAGUAAUGCACCGGAACGUACCCAGUAAUGGGGGAUAACACAUCGAAAGAUGUGCUAAUACCGCAUACGCCCUGAGGGGGAAAGCGGGGGAUCGUAAGACCUCGCGUUAUUGGAGCGGCCGAUGCCGGAUUAGCUAGUUGGUGAGGUAAAGGCUCACCAAGGCGACGAUCCGUAGCUGGUCUGAGAGGACGACCAGCCACACUGGGACUGCGCCACGGCCCAGACUCCUACGGGAGGCAGCAGUGGGGAAUUUUGGACAAUGGGCGCAAGCCUGAUCCAGCCAUGCCGCGUGAGUGAAGAAGGCCUUCGGGUUGUAAAGCUCUUUCGCAAGGAAAGAAAACUUACCUUCUAAUAAAGGGUGAGGUUGACGGUACCUUGAUAAGAAGCACCGGCUAACUACGUGCCAGCCGCCGCCGUAA
This 502-nucleotide ribosomal RNA is filed under the name uncultured bacterium. RNAcentral's name for it is "partial 16S ribosomal RNA". It matches the Rfam family "Bacterial small subunit ribosomal RNA", at positions 30 to 523 of the family's 1533-position model. The record is from RNAcentral.